UCCUCCCUCUUUCCUCGCGCCUAACACAUGCAAGUCGAACGAGCGAGAGGAGGUUUACUUUCUCAAGCGAGUGGCGAACGGGUGAGUAACGCGUGAGGAACCUGCCUCAAAGAGGGGGACAACAGUUGGAAACGACUGCUAAUACCGCAUAAGCCCACGACCCGGCAUCGGGUAGAGGGAAAAGGAGCAAUCCGCUUUGAGAUGGCCUCGCGUCCGAUUAGCUAGUUGGUGAGGUAAUGGCCCACCAAGGCGACGAUCGGUAGCCGGACUGAGAGGUUGAACGGCCACAUUGGGACUGAGACACGGCCCAGACUCCUACGGGAGGCAGCAGUGGGGAAUAUUGCACAAUGGGGGAAACCCUGAUGCAGCGACGCCGCGUGGAGGAAGAAGGUCUUCGGAUUGUAAACUCCUGUUGUUGAGGAAGAUAAUGACGGUACUCAACAAGGAAGGGACGGCUAACUACGUG
Molecule: ribosomal RNA, 466 nt
Filed under: uncultured bacterium
Lineage: Bacteria
Description: partial 16S ribosomal RNA
Rfam family: Bacterial small subunit ribosomal RNA
Source: RNAcentral